RNAcentral lists this ribosomal RNA (1855 nucleotides) under Myxobolus cf. cuneus MMC-2015. RNAcentral's name for it is "SSU rRNA". It matches the Rfam family "Eukaryotic small subunit ribosomal RNA", at positions 103 to 1705 of the family's 1831-position model. Lineage: Eukaryota; Metazoa; Cnidaria; Myxozoa; Bivalvulida; Myxobolidae. The record is from RNAcentral.
AAAUCAGUUAUAAUCUGCUCGAUUGUUAAGGUUAUUGGAUAACCGUGGGAAAUCUAGAGCUAAUACAUGCACCUACUGGAUUGCACUUGUGUAGUCCGUUGCAUUUAUUAGAAAAGUACCAACCGUGUGAGCAAUCGCAUGUGGUGAAUCUAGAUAACUGUGCAGAUCGUACAGCUUUGCUGACGACAUUUCGAUUGAGUUUCUGCUCUAUCAACUUUGGGAGUCUAAGGGACUCCCAUGGUGAUAACGGAUAACGGGGGAUCAGGGUUCGAUUCCGGAGAGGGAGCCUGAGAAACGGCUACCACAUCCAAGGAAGGCAGCAGGCGCGCAAAUUACCCAAUCCAGACAAUGGGAGGUGGUGACGAAAAGUACCGAAUGGCAGCCUAUGGUUGUCAGUUUGGAAUGAAAACAAUUUAAGCAAUUGAAUCGAGAAACGACUGGAGGGCAAGUCUGGUGCCAGCAGCCGCGGUAAUUCCAGCUCCAGUGGCGUAUCUCAAAGUUGCUGCGCUUAAAACGCUCGUAGUUGGAUCACGCACUGUUUGAUGGUGGACCGAGCAGGGGCACAUAACGCUCGUCGCAACCAGGUGGUAUGUUCUCAUGCCACGCUGGGGGACGGGAGUGCUCAUGCGCGGUUGUUAGCCAACAGACAGUAAUUGCACGUGGGGAUGGUCGUUGGUCUUGAGUGAAUCGACGUCCGUGUCCCACGGGGUGUGCCUUGAGUAAAUCAGAGUGCUUAAAGCAGGCGUAAGCUUGAAUGUUGAUAGCAUGGAACGAACAAUCGUGUAUGGUGUGUGCUGAGUUCGAGAAGAUGACUUGUCAUUGACUCGCAGCGCACGACACCGACCGCCAAUUACGGAUGUUGGUUCCGUAUUGGGGUACCGAUUAAGAGGAGCGGUUGGGGGCAUUGGUAUUUGGCAGCGAGAGGUGAAAUUCUUGGACCUGCCAAGGACUAACAAAUGCGAAGGCAUCUGUCCAGACCGUAUCCAUUAAUCAAGAACGAUAGUGAGAGGUUCGAAGACGAUCAGAUACCGUCCUAGUUCUCACUGUAAACGAUGCCGACCCGGGAUCAGUUUGGAGCAACGUUCCACGCUCGAGGUUGGUCCCCCUGGGAAACUUAAAGUCUUUCGGUUGCGGGGGGAGUAUGGUCGCAAGGCUGAAACUUAAAGGAAUUGACGGAAGGGCACCACCAGGGGUGGAGCCUGCGGCUUAAUUUGACUCAACACGGGAAAACUUACCUGGUCCGGACAUCAAAAGGAUAAACAGACUAAACGCUCUUUUUUGAUAUGGUGAUUGGUGGUGCAUGGCCGUUCUUAGUUCGUGGAGUGAUCUGUCAGGCCAAUUCCGGUAACGAACGAGACCAUAAUCUCCACUUGAAGGGCCUCAGAAGGGCCCGAUUUGGUAGUUUUCUGGCAACAGAAAGUUACUUUACCGGACCUGCUGGCUGGGAAGAGGGCGGUGGCUUGUAACCGGCGAAGCGGCAACGUGGAACCGGCGCAGAGUCAUUAGUUCGAUUCCCUCCCUGAGGCAGUACAAUACGCGGCCUUCUCGGCUAGUGUAUUGCAUCGUGGAGAGACAACGGAACAUAUAACAAAAUCCGAGGAAGUGUGGCUAUAACAGGUCUGUGAUGCCCUUAGAUGUUCAGGGCUGCACGCGCGCUACAAUGGCGGCGACAACGAGUUUCUGGAUCGAAAGAUUCGGGUAACCUUACAAUCGCCGCCGUGAUGGGAAUUGACGUUUGUAAAUACGUCAUGAAAGAGGAAUCCCUAGUACGUGUGAUUCAUCAAAUCGCGCGGAUUUAGUCCCUGCCCUUUGUACACACCGCCCGUCGCUACUACCGAGUGAAUGGUGUCAUAAU